Molecule: RNA transcript, 403 nt
Organism: Bicyclus anynana (squinting bush brown)
Lineage: Eukaryota; Metazoa; Arthropoda; Insecta; Lepidoptera; Nymphalidae
Exons: 3
Source: RefSeq, a predicted model, not a curated record
ACACCCAAAGAUUACAAUGUAUUAUUGGUCACAUCCUUCUGUCAAAGUUAUUGAUCAGCGAUCCUAAUACAAAGUUACAAACUGUAUAUUUUUUUAUAGAAUCGAUGUUUCAUUCAAAGAGUAAAUUAAUAUGUUUCAUUGUUAAAAAUUGAAAUCGUUUUCGUUAGGUAAAGAGCUCUCUAAAAAUGCAGUACCAAGAAAAGAGGGUGUUACCACAUGAGCGAGAGAUACACAGCUUCAAGAGGAUCAGGUUUCAGAUGUGGGAGAGAUUGCCCAAGAUAAAUGGAAUAUUUAGAAUGUCUCCGGAGAAAAUAGGCACGUUUCUAAAACAAAACAAUAUUGAUGAAGUAAAAAAAAAAACUUUGUAGUUUACUACCCUAAAAAUUAUAUUAUUUUAAUCUUA